RNAcentral lists this ribosomal RNA (466 nucleotides) under uncultured bacterium. RNAcentral describes it as "partial 16S ribosomal RNA". It matches the Rfam family "Bacterial small subunit ribosomal RNA", at positions 28 to 508 of the family's 1533-position model. The record is from RNAcentral.
GAUGAACGCUGGCGGCGUGCUUAACACAUGCAAGUCGAACGGAAAGGCUCCUGCUUGCAGGGGUACUCGAGUGGCGAACGGGUGAGUAACACGUGGGUGAUCUGCCCUGCACUUCGGGAUAAGCCUGGGAAACUGGGUCUAAUACCGGAUAGGACCACAUUUUGGAUGGUGUGGUGGAAAGUUUUUCGGUGUGGGAUGAGCUCGCGGCCUAUCAGCUUGUUGGUGGGGUAAUGGCCUACCAAGGCGUCGACGGGUAGCCGGCCUGAGAGGGUGUACGGCCACAUUGGGACUGAGAUACGGCCCAGACUCCUACGGGAGGCAGCAGUGGGGAAUAUUGCACAAUGGGCGCAAGCCUGAUGCAGCGACGCCGCGUGGGGGAUGACGGCCUUCGGGUUGGAAACUCCGUUCGCUAGGGACGAAGCGCAAGUGACGGUACCUGGAGAAGAAGCACCGGCUAACUACGUGC